Micropterus dolomieu (smallmouth bass) is the source of this 500-nucleotide long non-coding RNA. RefSeq lists it as uncharacterized. The transcript has 3 exons. The record is from RefSeq and is a predicted model, not a curated record. NCBI's taxonomy places the organism in Eukaryota, Metazoa, Chordata, Actinopteri, Centrarchiformes, Centrarchidae.
GCCUGCGCUGGGUGAAGCUGGAGAGCCGGAGAUUGACCGCUAGCAGGUCUUGUCCCUGUAGAAUCCACCGGGCAGGUGAGAGCAGCGAAGUGCGGAAUGCGUCGUGAAGCUUAACAGUCACUUAUAAACGACAAAAAGACAGUCAAUGGGUUUAUACUGCCAUACACAUCAAUUUUAUAAAGUUUGUCCGUUGGUCAGCUGAACCAAUCCGGUUUUAUGAGACAAUCAAGAAGAGUGACUUUUCCAACAAAGAUAUACAAAGAAGUGACAUCACUGAGGAAACAGAGCAGUGUCUGCAGCACUUCUCGGUUUUCAUCUGACAUCAACAUGAUGGCUGCCUGGACAGCUUGCAACCUUUGUUCCUUUGGCACAUCUAGCACAUUUGAGAGAAUUGGUUCUAUUAUUUUUGCUUUACAGACACAGUGAUAGAAGAGAGAAAAGCAAUCAUGAACUGUCAGUGGUAGUUUACUAGGUUUGAAUUGUCAUCCUCAGAGUCACAU